UACGAAGGGGGCUAGCGUUGUUCGGAAUUACUGGGCGUAAAGCGCGCGUAGGCGGGCUUUUAAGUCAGAUGUGAAAUCCCAGGGCUCAACCCUGGAACUGCAUUUGAAACUGGAAGUCUGGAGGCCAGGAGAGGUCAGUGGAAUACCGAGUGGAGAGGUGAAAUUCGCAGAUAUUCGGUGGAACACCAGUGGCGAAGGCGACUGACUGGACUGGUACUGACGCUGAGGCGCGAAAGUGUGGGGAGCAAACAGGAUUAGAUACCCUGGUAGUCCACACCGUAAACGAUGACAGCUAGUUGUUGGCAGGCAUGCCUGUCGGUGACGCAGCUAACGCAAUAAGCUGUCCGCCUGGGGAGUACGGCCGCAAGGUUA
This 372-nucleotide ribosomal RNA is filed under the name uncultured bacterium. Its description in RNAcentral is "bacterial SSU rRNA". It matches the Rfam family "Bacterial small subunit ribosomal RNA", at positions 524 to 896 of the family's 1533-position model. The record is from RNAcentral.